Molecule: long non-coding RNA, 585 nt
Organism: Odocoileus virginianus texanus
Lineage: Eukaryota; Metazoa; Chordata; Mammalia; Artiodactyla; Cervidae
Source: RefSeq, a predicted model, not a curated record
GUGGGCUCAGACAGUCUCUCAAGGCGAGUGUCUCUCCCCUCGAGGCUUAGGCGCUAAGAGCCCCUUCGUCUGGGAAUAGUUUAAAGCCAGAUCGCUUUCCUUCCUUCCCAGGGGCUCUUGGUUCAGACCUGAGGCUCUCAGGAUCCACAGACACUGCAGAGAGCCUCAAGAAACACGGGAGAGGGUCAAAUCGACUCAGAAGGCCUGAGACAGAGGUCUUUAUCAAUGCCCAAAGGCUUGCCAACAAGAAACUGAAGCCCUCAGUCCUACGACCUGGAAGAAACCGAAUUCUGCCAGCAGCCAUGAGACCUUAGAAAGAGAUCCUUCCCCAGUUGAGCCCUGAGAUGAGACCUAACCCUGUCUGGCAUCUUGAUUGCAAUCAGGAAUAUUCUGCCAGCCAAGAUUCUGUCCCCUUGUCUCUUCGAGUCUGGGCUUAGAAUUUGGGCUUGAACCCUGAGCAUCUCUCACUUCACAGUGCCUUCUGCUGAAGCCCAGGAAUCCUAUCAUGUCUGAAAGACAAUUCCAAAAUCUAGCAUAUGAGCCCAGAGGUCUGGAGACCAUCAAAUAAAAGUGAGAAAGAACUGA